Long non-coding RNA from Mytilus californianus (California mussel), 1531 nucleotides. RefSeq lists it as uncharacterized. The record is from RefSeq and is a predicted model, not a curated record. Lineage: Eukaryota; Metazoa; Mollusca; Bivalvia; Mytilida; Mytilidae. The transcript is spliced from 2 exons.
AUUUUGUGUUGUUUGGAUAGCAAUUUCUUGAUUGAAAAAGAACUUUCACAGCUCUUUCAUGCUUUUAAAAUGUUAUAAAAACUGAUCAACCAAUUAUCGCACUUGUGUAACCUCAAUGUAUCUAUAAUAGAACACAACUUUUACAAUAGAAUCUAGAACUAGAUAACAUUGCUAAAGCCUAACCAGGCAGUCAUACCACAUCUUUUUAAGAAAAUGUUACCCUUAAAAACAACAAUAUUAAUUUAAAACAGUAAUUCAAAUGAUAAACUGGUGAAUCAUGAAAUUGUAGUUCCAAAUUUUGAUUUUGUUAUAUCAAUAAUGGUAUAAAAAAGCCAACAAAUGGCUAAUAUAUAUGUAACUGCUAAAUAAAAUGCUCCACUAGGCGCAGCUUGAUACGACCGCAGAGGUCGAACCCUGAACAGUUGGGGCAAGUAUGGACACAACAUUCAAGCUUGAUACAGCUCUGAAUUUGGAUUGUGAUUAAAUAUUUGACACAGCAUAGGUUUCUGACACAGAAUGAAUGUUGUCAAAGAACUUAAAAUUUUUAAAUUGGACAUUCACCUAUUAUGGCCCAAUAUCCAAAAUCUAAAUACAUGGUUAGAUUCAGCAUAUCAAAGAACCCCAAGAAUUCAACUUUUGAUGAAAUCAAACAAAGUUUAAUUUUGGACCCUUUUGACCUCAAUGUGGACAAAGUUAAUAACGGGGCCCAAAAAUCAAAAAUCUAAAUACAUGGUUAGAUUCAGCAUAUCAAAGAACCCCAUAUAUUCAAUUUUUGUUGAAAUCAAACAAAGUUUAAUUUUGGACCCCGAUUUGGACCAACUUGAAAACUGGGCCCAUAAUCAAAAAUCUAAAUACAUGUUUAGAUUCAGCAUAUCAAAGAACCCUAAAAAUUCAAUUUUUGUUAAAAUCAAACUAAGUUUAAUUUUGGACUCUUUGGACCUUAAUGUAGACCAAUUUGAAAACGGAACCAAAAAUUAAGAAUCUAAAUACACUGUUAGAUUCGGCAUAUCAAAGAACCCCAUAAUUCAAUUUUUGAUGAAAUCAAACAAAGUUUAAUUUUGGACCCUUUGGACCUCAAUGUGGACCAAUUUAAAAAUGGGGCCCAAAAUCCAAAAACUUAAUACACGGUAUGAUUUAGCAUAUUAAAAAACUCCAAGAAUUCAAGAAUAAAACCCCAUUGAAAUUGGUCAAGAAAUAAGCAAUUUAUACGAAGUAUCUUCUUUUGCACAAUACUGUGCAAUUAAAUAUUUCUUGCUAUUGCGCAAUACCGUACAAUUGACAAUUUCUUGCUAUUGCGCAAUAUUGUGCUAUUGGAUAUUUCUUGCUAUUGCGCAAUACUGUGCAAUUGAAGAUUUCUUGCUAUUGUGCAAUACUGUGCAAUUGAAGAUUUCUUGCUAUUGUGCAAUACUGUGCAAUUGAAAAUUUCUUGCUAUUGCACAAUACUUAUUAUAUAAUAAUUUACACAUCCUGUUUGGUGUGUAUCUCCUACCAUAUCAUUAUUAUUUGCUUUUAAAUAUAAAUCAGAAAUAAC